RNAcentral lists this long non-coding RNA (1357 nucleotides) under Zalophus californianus (California sea lion). RNAcentral describes it as "lncRNA (ENSZCAG00015014469.1)". Lineage: Eukaryota; Metazoa; Chordata; Mammalia; Carnivora; Otariidae. The record is from RNAcentral.
UCUCUCAAAAUAAAUAAAUCUUAAAAAAGUUUUUAAAAAAGAUCAUGAUUCAUUAAUAAUUCUGAUCUUUAUUUGUUUUUUUUUUUAAGUAGGUGCCACACCCAUCAUGGAACCCAAUGUGGGGCUUGAACUCACGACCCUGAGAUCAACACCUGAGCUGAGAUCAAAUGUCAGUUGCUUAACCACCUGAGCCACCCAGGCACCCCAAUAAUUCUGAUCUUUAAGAAGGAAUACCUGAAUUCCAGCCAGAAGCAUCUCCUUAAGGUUGCAGAGACCAGAAACCAGAUGACACACUCCUCACCCUUUGGGUGAUUCCGACACAUUGGUCCACGGAUACUGCUCAUCUUUCCACAGCAUAUCAAAAAAAGAAAACUACACCCGCCUUACCAGAACGUCACACAGGAAGACUGCUACAGAAUUCUUUUCAUCGGGACAUGCAACCAUUGCUAUAAUCGGUAUCAUAGCCAAUGGUCCAGUAUUCUGAUGAGAGUGGAACACAGAAAUCAGAUAAUGGUGAGUGGUUCCAAGGCUAGCUGGACAUGUAAACCACCUUGAGAGCUGUUUUUUGAAAAUCAUUAUAAAGCCAAGAAAAGUAUAGAAUUGUAAGAAUCGAAAAUAAGUCCCCGUUUCUUUCCUUUUCCCCACAAACCAUUUCCUAGAGAUAAGCACUGUCAACAGUCCAAUGUAAAUCUUUCCAGAUAUCGUGUGCGCCUAUAGAAGCACGUAGGAGGUAUGUGGAAAUAGAAUGUAUGCACACUCAUUUUUAGAUAACUCUAAUCUUAUUAUGCAUAUCACUGUUCUGCAGCUCUUUUUUUUUUUCAACAUUUGUUUCCUCACUUAAUCUGUGGCAGAGACUAGAGGUUUAUUCAGUAAAGACACUGAGGGGUUCCAGACCACAGAUUCCUAAUACAACCAAAGCAUCUCAGACAGAGUCUUGAUACUAGCCGUUAAAUACACCAUGGUUUUACACAAUGAAAAGUCGGAAAAGACAUAACCGAUGGUCUCAACAGCAAGGGUAAAAAUCAAUAGUUCCCUAGGACUACUAAUACAGUUACUCAAGAUUAUAUAGAGACAAGGCUAUUUAUAUUUUAUAGAUGAAGAAAUUUGGCAAAACUCAACUAAUUUGAAUAAUCACUUUCACAGUUAUCAAAAACAUUUAAAACCAUACUCGUGGUAAUGAAGGAAAGCUUUGUUAACAAUAGAGAAUUGUGGGGCGCCUGGGUGGCUCAGUUGUUAAGCAUCUGCCUUUGGCUCAGGAAAUGAUCCCAGGGUCCUUGGAUCAGAAAUGAUCCCAGGGUCCUCGGAUCAGGCCCCUGCAUCAGGCUCCCUGCUCCGAGGGAGGCCUGCUUCUCCCUCU